AUUGAACGCUGGCGGAAUGCUUUACACAUGCAAGUCGAGCGGCAGCGCGGGGCAACCUGGCGGCGAGCGGCGAACGGGUGAGUAAUACAUCGGAACGUACCCUGUCGUGGGGGAUAACCAAUCGAAAGGUUGGCUAAUACCGCAUACGACCUGAGGGUGAAAGCGGGGGACCGCAAGGCCUCGCGCGAUAGGAGCGGCCGAUGUCGGAUUAGCUAGUUGGUGGGGUAAAGGCCUACCAAGGCGACGAUCCGUAGCUGGUCUGAGAGGAUGAUCAGCCACACUGGGACUGAGACACGGCCCAGACUCCUACGGGAGGCAGCAGUGGGGAAUUUUGGACAAUGGGGGAAACCCUGAUCCAGCCAUUCCGCGUGAGUGAAGAAGGCCUUCGGGUUGUAAAGCUCUUUCGGCAGGAACGAAACGGUCGUCUCUAACAUAGAUGGCUAAUGACGGUACCUGAAGAAGAAGCACCGGCUAACUACGUG
RNAcentral lists this ribosomal RNA (482 nucleotides) under uncultured organism. RNAcentral describes it as "bacterial SSU rRNA". It matches the Rfam family "Bacterial small subunit ribosomal RNA", at positions 29 to 507 of the family's 1533-position model. The record is from RNAcentral.